UACGAAGGGGGCUAGCGUUGUUCGGAAUUACUGGGCGUAAAGCGCACGUAGGCGGAUUGCUAAGUCAGGGGUGAAAUCCCGGGGCUCAACCUCGGAACUGCCUUUGAUACUGACAAUCUCGAGUCCGGAAGAGGUGGGUGGAAUUCCUAGUGUAGAGGUGAAAUUCGUAGAUAUUCGCAAGAACACCAGUGGCGAAGGCGGCUCACUGGCCCGAUACUGACGCUGAGGCACGAAAGCGUGGGGAGCAAACAGG
Molecule: ribosomal RNA, 253 nt
Filed under: uncultured bacterium
Lineage: Bacteria
Description: partial 16S ribosomal RNA
Rfam family: Bacterial small subunit ribosomal RNA
Source: RNAcentral